UACGUAGGUGGCAAGCGUUGUCCGGAUUUACUGGGCGUAAAGAGCGCGCAGGCGGUCGUUCAAGUCGCGUGUGAAAGCCCCCGGCUCAACUGGGGAGGGUCACGCGAUACUGAUCGACUCGAAGGCAGGAGAGGGUAGUGGAAUUCCCGGUGUAGUGGUGAAAUGCGUAGAUAUCGGGAGGAACACCGGUGGCGAAGGCGGUUCUCUGGGCCUUACCUGACGCUGAGGAGCGAAAGCGUGGGGAGCGAACAGG
Molecule: ribosomal RNA, 253 nt
Filed under: uncultured bacterium
Lineage: Bacteria
Description: partial 16S ribosomal RNA
Rfam family: Bacterial small subunit ribosomal RNA
Source: RNAcentral